GCUUCACCGCGUAUAAAUCCACGAGCUCAACUGCCCAAGCUUGCGAGCUUAGCCGUAAGCUCAUAUCAAACUGCCCCACUUGCAACAGCACGCGUCGCUGUCAGCUGUGACCCGCGUCGUCGUCGUCUCCUCCUCCUCCUCCUCCUCUGCUCUCCCUCCGACCGCGUUUCUCCCGAUCUCUGCGUCUCCAGCUCCGGCAAUGUCGCUCUCUCGGCCUCGUCGGGGCAGGGAGGAGGAGGAACUGGACGGCGGCCCUGCUGCCGGUGAGGGCCAACGCCGGCGAAGCGACCACGGGGCUGCUCCUGCUUCUGCUGCCUCCACCGCCGGGAGAAAGAACUUUCCUAUGAGGCCCAGAUUGAGAUCCUCACUGAGGAGUGCAAAAACAGAAAGAGGGAGAUGCAAGAGCUUUACCAAAAUUCCCAACUGCAGCACAAGGAAGUGAAGGAACUGAUCAGCGAGCGAAAUUCACAUAUUCAGCUGAUUUGGGAACGGCUCAACACCUUGAUUUCGGAGACGAGUGCACUUGGAGAACAUGUUGGCAAAUACAGUGAUCUUGGGGCCUUAACCCAUCAGAGCGAAAUCAGAAAAUACCGGUUGAAAUUUGUGAACAAGUGCUGCAAUGCCAAGUACUCGAGACACGACAUGACAGCAGAUGAUGGAAGUCCUAUUAAGGUAGCCAUAUAUGAUCAAAAAAAUAGGAUCAUUACAAAUGGACCCUUAUCAUCAGUUCUAGUUAAGAUUGUUGCCCUGGACGGCGAGUUUAACAAGGAAAAUAAAGAACAAUGGAGUGAAAACUCCUUUAAAACAAGCAUAGUACAUUGCCGUCCUGGAAGACAACCUUUGUUUGCCAAUGAACUAUAUCUAAGGCUUGAAAAUGGUGUGGCUCACCUCUGCGGCGCCAAAUUCCAAGACAAUUCAAGUUUUGUCCCAAGCAAGAAGUUCAGGUUGGGAGUCAUGGCAGCUGAUGAUAGUAUAUCAGAGAAAAUUCUGGAAGGAGUAUCUGAAUCUUUUGCCGUAAAGGACGGUCGUGGUUACCCGAAAAAGAAGGAUCUGUUUCCAUCUCUAAAUGACCCAAUAUACAAGCUGAAGAAAAUAGGAGAAAAUGGAGACAGGCGUAAGCUACUAGAGAAUAUGGAUAUAAAUAUUGUUCAAGACUUUUUGCGAUUCUACAAUAAGGAUAUGAAGGGUCUGCGUGAAGUAUGAGAACAAGCUUGUCGGAAUAUCCCAGAUCAUGAUUGGAACAUCAUUGUUGGACAUGCUCUGAGUUGUAAACCAGGACCUGAACGUUACUCAUACUGCAUUCCUGGAAUGGAUGCUACAAUUUGCUUCAACUCUCUAUACAACAUUGUUGGUGCAGAAUUCAAUGGUAAAUACAUUUCUUAUGAAGAACUUAACAGUACUCAGAAGAGUCUAGUGGAAAUGUCCAAGAUGACAGCGUAUGAGAAUUUGGAAGUUUCUAAGUGUGAAUACAAAGAUCCAUGUCAUGAGCAUGAGGUGAUAGCUGAAUAUGAAGGAAGCUGUUGCCCACGGGGAUCAUGUUCAAUGCUACCACUUUCUACACUGUCAACAAGAUUUCAUGAGGACAUUUCUCCACAAGGCGAGGUUUUGGAGAGCACUCCAGCACAGGAAAGCCCCCGGCCUCGUCAACGCUGGGCAAAAAUCAUGACUGUGGUCACCACUCUUCGUUUCUUGAACAAGAAGCCCCAGGCUACUCCUCGAGAAAUAUCCCAAACUCCUUGGACAGAAAGUAGCAUUGGGAUGACUUAUGUGCCCGACGAUUUACUGGUGGAGGCAGACAUAGAAAUGUGCCCAACUCCUAUAACAGAAAGUAGCUCUGGGAUGGUUGAAUGGCCCUAUGAGUUAUGGGACUGGUGUUAACCUGUCCUAGGAUAGAAAAUAGCUUUGGCAUAGUUUCUAAUUUCUCAGUGAAACUUUAGCAGGCUGCUCCAGGAGCCAAGCUAAGCCCUAAAUCCGCCCCAGAUUUGCUUCAGAUGGAUGUUUGCUAUCCUCCGUUAGCGUUAUGUUGCUGUGAAUCGAUAAGCCUGCUGCUUGUCGUCUUAAAUUUGUUAUCUGUAGAAAGAUGUUGGGGGCUUUACUUGGCUCACCGAUGUUGCUUCCAAAUAAGCUGAUUUGCUUAGGACUCUUGGAGAUCUUGCAUUCUGGCUACAUACUCUGUUGAAUGUGCUAAUGCCUAAUAGUAGUUCAGCUUGCUCCUCUUGACACUA
Molecule: RNA transcript, 2225 nt
Organism: Panicum virgatum (switchgrass)
Lineage: Eukaryota; Viridiplantae; Streptophyta; Magnoliopsida; Poales; Poaceae
Gene name: calmodulin-binding protein 60 B-like
Exons: 8
Source: RefSeq, a predicted model, not a curated record